UGUUUUAGUUCUUAAUCAGGUGGAUAAAACUUUACUUUCAUAUUUUAAUCUGGAGGCAUAGAGAAUAUAAUCCAUUUAAGUGGCUGAAAGUGAAGAGUUCCAGGCACGUCUUUCCUUCCAAAGAUACCAACAGUAACUGGUGAAGCAACCAGGGCCAGUGUCGGGGAUGCUGGGAACUUGGUUUCUUACAUGGAAAGGAAGUUUGGGAGAGAAUUUGGCAGUUCUGGGGAUCAAGCCAAUGAAGAAUCACUGGCAGCUAGUGCUGGACCUGGACUCGACAACUGGCUGCAUCUAGUCGAAGCUGAGUGUGUCCAGCUGUUUGGCCGAGUGCUUCCCGGUACAGAGGAAACUGGCUCUAAUGGUACACACCUGGGACUCAAGCGCUCAGGUGCUGGAGGUGCGAGCACCAGGAG
Acomys russatus (golden spiny mouse) is the source of this 413-nucleotide long non-coding RNA. RefSeq lists it as uncharacterized. The transcript is spliced from 3 exons. NCBI's taxonomy places the organism in Eukaryota, Metazoa, Chordata, Mammalia, Rodentia, Muridae. The record is from RefSeq and is a predicted model, not a curated record.